Molecule: long non-coding RNA, 5757 nt
Organism: Passer domesticus (house sparrow)
Lineage: Eukaryota; Metazoa; Chordata; Aves; Passeriformes; Passeridae
Exons: 5
Source: RefSeq, a predicted model, not a curated record
CACCAUAUCCCACUCAGAGUAGUAAAGUUAAGACAGCUGGCUGAUGUCAUCCAAAACCUCUCUGGACAAUUUUUGAGUGGUCUUGGGAAUCUGGAGAGGUCCCAGCUGGCUGGAAGCUGGUGAAUGUUGUCCUGAUUGUCAAGAAGAGUGAGAAGGAGGACGCUAGCAGCUACAGACCUGUCAGUCUCACUUCUUCUGUGCCUGGUAAAGUUUGGAGAAGAUUGUCCUGGGGGGUAUUGAAAAACACCUGUAGGACAACAGUUAUUGCUCACAGCCAGCACAGCUUUGUGAGAGGAAAUUCCUGCCUAUCAAACCUGAUUGCCUUUUCUAUCAAGGAGCACUGCUAGAAGCAUGCCAGGAGCAGGAUGCUGGAAACUGCAGAACCCUUUUGCUGUUGGUUCUAGAACCCUCUAGGUUUGACAUUUUGUGGCUCAAAUCAAAUCUGUGUUCUUCUGUCAUCUGCUUAUGGGAAAUACAGGCGCUGCCUCCACAGAGAGCUGUGAGUGGACAGAGAGAGAGCAAUGGGCUGAGCCUCUCCAACUAUCAUUUUAAAAUUUAUUACUGAAUUUGGGGUGAAACAAUGCUAAGAAAGCUUUUCAGCUUGUGUUACCAGCUCACCUUCCAGGCUGCCUGUCACCAUGGCUGUGGACACGUUUGCUGCCCCAGCCCUUGAGCUGGCAGCACUCUCUGCAUAAUGACAAUCACAGGGUUUGUUUAGGAGGGUCACUGCAAUAUAUUUGCACCUCUGGAACAGCCAAUUUGAAGAUCUCAGAUUGCUCUGCAAACAAAAUGGCAAAAUCCACCAGAGGUCAGUAGCAUUAACCCUAUCUUGACACUGACUAAUUUAAUGUCCAGAGAGACAGAAGGUCCGCACUGUGGAGAUGCUGAACAAGUGCACUUUGAAUUGAAGUGUGGAGGAGCUGUGGGUGUUUGAUGUCUGUGUAAAGCAAAUUCCCCACCAGGGAUUUGUUUAAAGGUAAGUGGAAGAAAAAAUGGGGAAGUAUUGACUCCCAGUCCUCUCUUCUGAUCACUGAAACACUCUAAAGGGUAACUUACUGAAUCAUCUGUGUCUGUACAAUACCAACUUGAAGCUUGUAAAAGGUGUUUUGUAUUUCCAGGGCUUUUUUUUUUUUUUUCAUGCUGUGAAAAAUACUUGCUCUUUGAAAAUGCACCCAGUGUCUGUGCAGUCCUGAUGUUUAAACUGGGCACAUUUAGGUCACUCUCUUCUCCCAUGUGAACACUGGAAGGUGCUGAUAGAGAUUUUUGCAAUAUUGCAUCAUCAUACUUGGUAGCCCAGAAGUUUGUCUUGCACCAAAGUUUCAAAUACCCUGGUUUCUGUCUCCAGACUUUUAUUGAUAUCUUCAGGCCCUGACUGACUCCAAAUUAGGAAGGAAAUGUCCUGAGACAGAAAGCAGUCAUCAGCACAUCCUGCAUACUGAAUAAUUACAGUGAAAAACCGUGUCCAUUAGCAGAGGUGAGCAAAAUCAUGGAAAAAAGAUAAUGGAGUCCACUGGAGCAAAAAAUCCAUUUCAGCAGAGAUCUCUGAGAGCUGGGGGAGCUGUUUUCAAUAAGAAAAUAACAAACUGCACAUUUUAAACUACAUUUUUCCUAACAGAAAAGUUGGAGAACCAGAAUCUUUGGACACACUGGAUCCAGGGUCCUAAAAUCCUGGGAGGAACUGGAUUUGUUUGGGAUGGGAACAGCCUCCUGACAUGACACGUUUUCAGACACAGGGCAAGAAGCAGAAAUCAGAUUUCUUCUGGAGUGACUGAUAGCCUCUGACAACAUGAAGCAAGUUAAUCACAGAUUAUGCUGUAACUUGCCAUUAGGCAACUUAAAAGUACUUCUGCAUGUCUUAAUGGUGCAGUACAGUACACUCAGCACAGCAGCAUGGAGGGCUUUUCCCCAGCUAAGCAUUUCUCUUUUUUAAUAACCUCCCGCUUUUUGUGUGAAAAUGUCUUUUAAUUAGUGUUGUUUUAUGUACUUGGACAUUUGCCCAUGGUUGCAGCAUCUGCUGUUUGCUUUGUGGGUGGGGACCUGAUGGCACUCACAGGAAGAAGCUUUCUGCAGGCCUCUGAAGAGGCUCAGGAAAGUGUGGUCGUGGCCCAAAUCUGUGGCCAGAGCAACCUGAGUCAUUUCCAUAUGGUGCUUUGAGUCUGGCAGGUUGAAAACAAAGGGAAAAAGGAAAGAGCUCCCAGAGAAGAGCCAUGGGGGCUGAGAUGACAGCCUGAUGGGACCUUUGCAAAGAGCACUGAAAAUACCCAUGAUCUGCAUUCUGGAGAAAGUCUUUUCAAGCUUUUCCCCACUCCCUUCCUUUCUCCUUUUGCUUCUUCUCUCUUUCAUCCUAUCCUUUUCAUUUUCAAUUUCAGCUGCUUGAUCUCCAGAUAUUUUUGAAAUGGCUGGGAAAAAGGGAGACAAAAACGAAGCUGACAUAAGGGAAAUUGAAGUGUGGGGAGAAACCACAGCAGUUUAUUCCAGACCUUGUUUAAUGAAAAAUAAUUAGAAGAUUUCAAAACACUUUGCAAACUGCAAUCCCAUUUUCUGUUCAUUCACGAUGGACCAAAGCCUCAAAGCUUUGGUUUCUUAUGAUAAAAGCAAGGAAUACUUACUUUUUAAAAUCUUUUCUCUUUUUUCUUCAUUUAAUAACUUGAAGGGCUUUUUCAUCUGAAGCAGACAAUAUUCAGAGCUCUGCAUUCUUUCUAAUUCUUCUUAUCCUGCUCCCCCAGCCUGGUUGACAUUUACCUUCAUGACCUCCAUCCUCCCUGGGUGUGCUCAGAACUAAAGCCAGUGCUUGAAGUUACUGGUGAAACAGAUCUGGAUGAUGGAAGGAGAUGACAACUCCUUCAUGUGCCCUGCUCUCCCUCACAAGGAAGGGUGGGGGGGAUAAACCAGGCUUUUCAGUUUGGGAAGCAGAUGAGGGAAAAUAUUAUAAGGCAUCAAAAUCAGGAUUGGAAAGAAGGAAGCAAUAAGCAAACAAUUAUUCACAUUUUCUCAAAAUGCAAGACCCACCUCGAUCCAAUUAAAUAAUCAGGUGGUGCACCUGAAACAUACAAAAGCCAAUAUUUUUCAUCUAAGGAAACCUGUGAAACUCGUUGCCUCUGGGUGCUAUAGAGGCCAAAUGUUUAAGCAUUCUUAAAAUAGACUGAACAGUAAUGAAAAAUGUCAUUGCUGAUGACUGUUAGACAUGAUGGUUCACACCCAACUUCCAGCUCAGGAAGACUUGAGCUGCCACCUGACAGAAGGUGGAGGGAUAAGCCAGGUUACAGUCUGUUUUGUACAACCUUUCUCCUCCUCCUACCUUUAUUUUCACUAAUAGGAUGGACCUUUCCCAUAUUGGAGCUUAGUAGGUCUUUUAUACCAACAUACCAUUCCCCUGCCCAGUUGGACUUAGAAUUUGUUAAUUAAAAAUUGAGGCUGAAUUAGCUGAAUCAGUAGGUAAACUUAAACUGCUGAUCAAAGACCAAGACUUCCUUCACAAUUAUCCACCCCAUGAGUGCACCAAGUGCUGUGGCAGAAAGAGUAAUUUUAUUCUUGACUUCUCUAAGAUCUUGGAUUAAAUUGUUUCUUUGAUUACUUUCUCUGGUCACUUUUUUUUUUCCUCAUCUGUCUUUGAGGUGAAAGAAAGUUUUCUCACCUGGACUGUUUUGAGCAGAACCUCUUAAAAAUUCUAGAUUUCUUCAACUGUUAGUACCAAGACUAGGGCAAGAGAGCUUUAACCUUCUAAAGGUUUCUAGGUUCUUCUUUAAGACAAGUAAAUAAUUCUAAUUUCUACAAACUACAGCAUCUUCAGUUAAGUCUUCAUAAAUAUCUUCUAGUAAAAUAGGGCUUGUAAUAAAAAAAAAACUCUUUGGUCUUACUGAGUCACAAGAAAAGUUCUCUCUUUGAUUCUAUUUCUCUGCUUUCUCCUUUGAAUAAAGUGGGAAAUGUACAAGGGCUGCUUCCUGUGCAGGUUUAUUGUUUUGCAGGUGGUGGAGUGGUUUUAAAGACAUCUGACUUGAGAACCAAUGUGUGUGGUGCAGUCACUGAAGGGAAGGGAUGCCAUCCUGUGGGACUGGGCAGGCUGGAGAGGUGAGGCUGUGGGGACCUUACCAAAUCCAGAAAGGACAAAUGCAAGUCCUGCACCCAGACUGGGGCAAUCCCUCCCUCAAGGAAAGGCUGGGUGGAGAAUAGGUUGACAGCAGCCUUGCAGGGAAGAACUUAGAGGCGUUUGUUGAUGAGAAGGUCAAAAAAGAUGGAGAGAGUGUUUUUGGCAUGGUCUGUUGCGACAGGACAAAGGGUGAACUGAGAGACAGUGGGUGUUGCAAAGAAAUUCUUCACCAUGAGGGUGGUGAGCCCCUGGCACAAGCUGAACAGAGAAGCUGUGGCUGCUCCAUCCCUGGAAGUGCCCAAGGCCUGUCUGGAUGGGGCUUGGAACAACCUGGGAUAGUGGAAGAUGUCCCUGCUGCAGUGGGGCUGGAACUGGGCAAUCUUAAAGGCCCCUUCCAACCCCAGCCACUCAAUGAUUCUGUGAACACCAGGAGUGCAUUGAUUGAACAGAACUAAAUAUACCAACACCCAUGUCAGAGCAGAGAUUUUUUUUUUUUUUUUUGCUGCAGGAGAUCACAGACAGAAUGGAUAGUGGAAGCUUUCCACAUAAUGGUGCUUGAUCAUAUGUAUAAAAGGAGUUAAAAUUACCUCUCAUAGAGAUUUUUCAUAAGUAUAAGUAAUCUCCACGUACUUUUGUGAUUGUUUCUCCUCAGAUAUGGUUAUUAUUUGGCAGCACCAAACUGUGUUUGGUUGUACAUUGCCAUGUGAAAGACAUUUGACUGAUCAGAGUGUGAUAUUUUUGAGGUUGCUGGUGCAGCAAUGGGAAGAUGACCUUCUGUAAAUUUAAACAAUGAGGGAUGAACACAGAUUUUUCUUCUGAUGAGCAUGUAACUCACACAAUACAAAGUUUUUUAAAAAGUGCCUAGAAGACAAUUUGGAUUCAAAUAAUGUUUUCUAGGAGGAGCUGCCUGCUGGCAUUGUGUCUCAGUCCGCUGUGUGCUGACAAGCCCCAAAGCAGAGUUAAGAGGCCCUCUGAAGCUGACUGAAGUCACUGUCAACAAAACUGGGAUCCCUUCCAACCAAAAGCUGUGCAACCAGUGUGAAAUGUUUGUCAGGCUGUAGAGAGGAACAGCCAGAGGAGCUACCAAAAUAUUUAACUGAGGCUUUCUGAGAGACAUUGGGUUUCUGCUAAAAGACACUGAAGUGGCAUUCAGCACUGAGUAGUGUUUCAUCAGAAAUUUCCUUGAGUUUCCCCAUGUCACUGGGAGGUAUCCUGACAGUUGCUCCCUCUGUCACUCACAGACAGUUGCUACCACACUCACACACCACAGACAUCACAUUUUUCCCAACUCCCCCAGAGCUCUUGGUGUCAACUGCUUGCCAGGAAACAGAUUCUUCUGUAACUCCCCCACUAUCCUAAUGUUUAGGAUGAUUCCCCAAAUGAGGCUACUGCACAGAAGGCUAUUGACUAACCAUGGAUCCAUGACUCUGUGCUGGAGCACAGCAGCUCUGGUGAGCACAGAGGCUGCAGCAGCGACGUGGCCUUGAGAACUCCUGAUGGCUCAUGGACAGAACAAGACAGAGCAAUCUGCACCAUCAUGGAUGACUUUGGUGAUAUAAGAGGAUUGGCUUUGUGCCUGACCUGAGGAGCUGCAUGGAACCUGUGCUUUCUGUGCACAGGAGUUAAGUGAUGUCCAGGCACCCAUAUGUGUUACAAUAUGGAGAAGUCCC